GCGUUGAUGGUGUAAUGGUUAGCAUUGUUGCCUUCCAAGCAAUAGAUCUGGGUUCGAUUCCCGGUCAACGCA
RNAcentral lists this transfer RNA (72 nucleotides) under Dendronephthya gigantea. RNAcentral describes it as "tRNA-Gly". It matches the Rfam family "tRNA". Rfam says of the family: Transfer RNA (tRNA) molecules are approximately 80 nucleotides in length. Their secondary structure includes four short double-helical elements and three loops (D, anti-codon, and T loops). Lineage: Eukaryota; Metazoa; Cnidaria; Anthozoa; Malacalcyonacea; Nephtheidae. The record is from RNAcentral.